RNAcentral lists this ribosomal RNA (457 nucleotides) under Capnocytophaga granulosa. Its description in RNAcentral is "bacterial SSU rRNA". It matches the Rfam family "Bacterial small subunit ribosomal RNA", at positions 28 to 489 of the family's 1533-position model. The record is from RNAcentral. Lineage: Bacteria; Pseudomonadati; Bacteroidota; Flavobacteriia; Flavobacteriales; Flavobacteriaceae.
GAUAAACGCUAGCGGCAGGCCUAACACAUGCAAGUCGAGGGAGAAGCUCUUCGGGGCAGAAACCGGCGCACGGGUGCGUAACGCGUAUGCAACCUACCUUUCACAGGGGGAUAGCCCGAAGAAAUUUGGAUUAAUACCCCAUAAUAUUAUUGGAUGGCAUCAUUUGAUAAUUAAAAUUACGAUGGUGAAAGAUGGGCAUGCGUCCUAUUAGCUAGUUGGAGUGGUAACGGCACCCCAAGGCUACGAUAGGUAGGGGUCCUGAGAGGGAGAUCCCCCACACUGGUACUGAGACAGGGACCAGACUCCUACGGGAGGCAGCAGUGAGGAAUAUUGGUCAAUGGUCGGGAGACUGAACCAGCCAUGCCGCGUGCAGGAAGAAUGCCUUAUGGGUUGUAAACUGCUUUUAUAUGGGAAGAAUAAGGAGUACGCGUACUUUGAUGACGUACCAUAUGAAUAA